CUCGCGAAAAGCUUCAAUCUGGUUCAGGUAACUACGUGGUUUCAAAGUAUUGCCAACAAAGCCGUAGUCAUAGUUCAUUUGGGAACCCCAGGCCUGCGAAUGCACAAAGGUUUAGUUGUAGGCUUUUCAAAGUAAGAUUAUCGAUCCCAUGGGAAGCAGAGUAAUUAGACUUUGUCCCUUAUACGACCCAAACUCCUACGGGAGGCGAGGCAGAAGUGGGGGAAUUUUCCGCAAUAUGCGAAAGCCCGACGAAGCAAUGCCGUUCGGAAGUGGAAGGCCUACGGGCCAUCAACUUCUUUCUCGGAUAAGAAACAAUGACAACAUCCAAGGAAUAAGCAUCGACUCACUCUAUGCCAGCAUUCGCGUAAGAGACACAGGAUGCAAGCAUUAUCCAGAAUAAUUGGGCGUAAAGCGUCUCUGGAUUUUUCAAGUCCGCCAUCAAAUACCAAGGCUCAACGUUGGAUAGGCGGUGAAAACUACCAAGCUGGGGUACGGUAGGGGCAAAGGGAAUUUCUGGUGGAGCGAUGAAAUGCAUUGAGAUCAGAAAGAACAUCAAUGGGGAAAGCACUAUGAUAGGUUGACACUGACCCUGAGAGACGAAAGAUGGGAAGACUUACAAAAUGUACCUGCAAAUUAAUUUUAAA
RNAcentral lists this non-coding RNA (644 nucleotides) under Hordeum vulgare subsp. vulgare (domesticated barley). RNAcentral describes it as "Bacterial small subunit ribosomal RNA". It matches the Rfam family "Bacterial small subunit ribosomal RNA", at positions 197 to 817 of the family's 1533-position model. The record is from Rfam by way of RNAcentral. Lineage: Eukaryota; Viridiplantae; Streptophyta; Magnoliopsida; Poales; Poaceae.